AGGAUCAUUAUUGAAUAAACUUGGUUGAGUUGCUGCUGGCUCUUUGGAGUAAUGUGCACGCUCAUUCCAUCUUUAACCACCUGUGCACCUUGUGUAGAUCCAAAUGCUUGAGAGCGAUUAACAUUGCUGUCUUUGUAUUUAGGUCUAUGUUUUUUAUACACCCCAAAAAUGUAUCAGAAUGAUGUGAACAGGCCUUAUGUGGCUUUACAAAUUAAAACAACUUUCAACAACGGAUCUCUUGGCUCUCGCAUCGAUGAAGAACGCAGCGAAAUGCGAUAAGUAAUGUGAAUUGCAGAAUUCAGUGAAUCAUCGAAUCUUUGAACGCACCUUGCGCUCCUUGGUAUUCCGAGGAGCAUGCCUGUUUGAGUGUCAUGAAAUUCUCAACCUGUCUCUCUUUUAUUAAAGAAAUACAGGCUUGGAUUUGGAGGUUUUGCUGGCUUCCCAGAAACCGGCUCCUCUUAAAUGUAUUAGCAGGAACCAUUGCUGAUUUUUCUUAGUAUGAUAACUAUCUAUACUACGGAGAAUCAGUUUCCUUAAUUGGAGGGCUUCGCUUCUAAUAGUCUUACCAGACAAUUCUUGACAAUUUUGACCUCAAAUCAGGUAGGACUACCCGCUGAACUUAAGCAUAUCAAUAAGCGGAGGAAAAGAAACUAACAAGGAUUCCCCUAGUAACUGCGAGUGAAGCGGGAAAAGCUCAAAUUUAAAAUCUGGUAGUCUUUGGCUGCCCGAGUUGUAAUCUAGAGAAGCGUUAUCCGCGCUGGACCGUGUAUAAGUCUCCUGGAAUGGAGCGUCAUAGAGGGUGAGAAUCCCGUCUUUGACACGGACUACCAGGGCUUUGUGAUGCGCUCUCAAAGAGUCGAGUUGUUUGGGAAUGCAGCUCUAAAUGGGUGGUAAAUUCCAUCUAAAGCUAAAUAUUGGCGAGAGACCGAUAGCGAACAAGUACCGUGAGGGAAAGAUGAAAAGAACUUUGGAAAGAGAGUUAAAUAGUACGUGAAAUUGUUGAAAGGGAAACGCUUGAAGUCAGUCGCGUUGACCAGGGAUCAACCUUGCUUUUGCUUGGUGCACUUCCUGAUUAACGGGUCAGCAUCAAUUUUGACCAGUGGAGAAAGGUCAGGGGAAUGUGGCAUCUUCGGAUGUGUUUAUAGCCUUUGGUCGUAUACAUUGGUUGGGAUUGAGGAACUCAGCACGCCGCAAGGCCGGGUUUUAAACCACGUUCGUGCU
RNAcentral lists this ribosomal RNA (1221 nucleotides) under uncultured Entolomataceae. RNAcentral's name for it is "eukaryotic LSU rRNA". The stretch from base 587 to 1221 matches the Rfam family "Eukaryotic large subunit ribosomal RNA", at positions 1 to 627 of the family's 3401-position model. Lineage: Eukaryota; Fungi; Basidiomycota; Agaricomycetes; Agaricales; Entolomataceae. The record is from RNAcentral.